This 451-nucleotide ribosomal RNA is filed under the name uncultured bacterium. RNAcentral's name for it is "bacterial SSU rRNA". It matches the Rfam family "Bacterial small subunit ribosomal RNA", at positions 29 to 496 of the family's 1533-position model. The record is from RNAcentral.
AAUCAACGCUGGCGGCGCGCUUAACACAUGCAAGUCGGACGAGAAAGGGGAGCAAUCCCUGAGUAGAGUGGCGUACGGGUGAGUAACACGUGGAUGAUCCACCUCUUAGUGGGGAAUAUCUCUGGGAAACCGGAGUUAAUACCGCAUAAGCUCGAGAGAGGAAACCUGCAAAGGGCUGAGAGAGGAGUCCGCGGCCGAUUAGCUAGUUGGUAGGGUAACGGCCUACCAAGGCUUUGACGGGUAGCUGGUCUGAGAGGACGAUCAGCCACACUGGCACUGCGACACGGGCCAGACUCCUACGGGAGGCAGCAGUAAGGAAUAUUGCGCAAUGGGCGAAAGCCUGACGCAGCGACGCCGCGUGGGGGAUGAAGGUCUUCGGAUUGUAAACCCCUUUCGGGAGGGAAGAUGGAGCGAGCAAUCGUUCGGACGGUACCUCCAGAAGCAGCCACGG